GCCCCGAUGGUGAAAUUGGUAGACACUGCGGACUUAAAAUCCGCCGCUUUCCUGAAUAAGGGGCGUGCCGGUUCGACCCCGGCUCGGGGCACCA
RNAcentral lists this transfer RNA (94 nucleotides) under Acidovorax sp. RNAcentral's name for it is "tRNA-Leu". It matches the Rfam family "tRNA". Rfam says of the family: Transfer RNA (tRNA) molecules are approximately 80 nucleotides in length. RNAcentral also lists the same sequence under 1 other name. The record is from RNAcentral. Lineage: Bacteria; Pseudomonadati; Pseudomonadota; Betaproteobacteria; Burkholderiales; Comamonadaceae.